Molecule: ribosomal RNA, 941 nt
Filed under: uncultured bacterium
Lineage: Bacteria
Description: bacterial SSU rRNA
Rfam family: Bacterial small subunit ribosomal RNA
Source: RNAcentral
GAAAGGGACGGCUAANUACGUGCCAGCAGCCGCGGUAAUACGUAGNUCCCGAGCGUUGUCCGGAUUUAUUGGGCGUAAAGCGAGCGCAGGCGGUUAGAUAAGUCUGAAGUUAAAGGCAGUGGCUCAACCAUUGUAGGCUUUGGAAACUGUUUAACUNGAGUGCAGAAGGGGAGAGUGGAUUCCAUGUGUAGCGGUGAAAUGCGUAGAUAUAUGGAGGAACACCGGUGGCGAAAGCGGCUCUCUGGCCUGUAACUGACGCUGAGGCUCGAAAGCGUGGGGAGCGAACAGGAUUAGAUACCCUGGUAGUCCACGCCGUAAACGAUGAGUGCUAGGUGUUAGGUCCUUUCCGGGACUUAGUGCCGCAGCUAACGCAUUAAGCACUCCGCCUGGGGAGUACGACCGCAAGGUUGAAACUCAAAGGAAUUGACGGGGGCCCGCACAAGCGGUGGAGCAUGUGGUUUAAUUCGAAGCAACGCGAAGAACCUUACCAGGUCUUGACAUCCCGAUGCCCGCUCUAGAGAUAGAGCUUUACUUCGGUACAUCGGUGACAGGUGGUGCAUGGUUGUCGUCAGCUCGUGUCGUGAGAUGUUGGGUUAAGUCCCGCAACGAGCGCAACCCUUAUUGUUAGUUGCCAUCAUUCAGUUGGGCACUCUAGCGAGACUGCCGGUAAUAAACCGGAGGAAGGUGGGGAUGACGUCAAAUCAUCAUGCCCCUUAUGACCUGGGCUACACACGUGCUACAAUGGCUGGUACAACGAGUCGCAAGCCGGUGACGGCAAGCUAAUCUCUGAAAGCCAGUCUCAGUUCGGAUUGUAGGCUGCAACUCGCCUACAUGAAGUCGGAAUCGCUAGUAAUCGCGGAUCAGCACGCCGCGGUGAAUACGUUCCCGGGCCUUGUACACACCGCCCGUCACACCACGAGAGUUUGUAACACCCGAAGUCG